GGUGGCUCAGUGGUAGAGCGCUUGCCUUGCAUGUAAGAGGCCCUGGGUUUGAUUCCUCAAGCACCA
Non-coding RNA from Dipodomys ordii (Ord's kangaroo rat), 66 nucleotides. The record is from Rfam. Lineage: Eukaryota; Metazoa; Chordata; Mammalia; Rodentia; Heteromyidae.